GGCGCUUUGGCUGAGUGGUUAUAGCGAUAGACUAGAACUUAUUAUUCAUCUAUUUCCUUCGGGAGCGCAGGUUCAAAUCCUGCAGGCGUCG
Non-coding RNA from Microthyrium microscopicum, 91 nucleotides. The record is from the annotation of a GenBank genome assembly. NCBI's taxonomy places the organism in Eukaryota, Fungi, Ascomycota, Dothideomycetes, Microthyriales, Microthyriaceae.